GAUGAACGCUGGCGGCGUGCCUAAUACAUGCAAGUCGAGCGAACAGACGAGGAGCUUGCUCCUCUGACGUUAGCGGCGGACGGGUGAGUAACACGUGGAUAACCUACCUAUAAGACUGGGAUAACUUCGGGAAACCGGAGCUAAUACCGGAUAAUAUAUUGAACCGCAUGGUUCAAUAGUGAAAGACGGUUUUGCUGUCACUUAUAGAUGGAUCCGCGCCGCAUUAGCUAGUUGGUAAGGUAACGGCUUACCAAGGCAACGAUGCGUAGCCGACCUGAGAGAGAGACGUGGCAGACUGGGACAGAGACACGGACGAGACGACAGCGGGAGGCAGCAGGAGGGAAUCGGCCGAGAUGGGCGAAAGCCUGACGGAGUAACGCAGCAGGGAAGAGGAAGGUUUUCGGAUAUUAAAACACUUUUAAAAGGAAAAAAAAAAAGUGUAAGAAACUAUGCACACCUAGACGGGACCGAAGCAGAAAGCCACGGCUAACUACGUG
Molecule: ribosomal RNA, 497 nt
Filed under: uncultured bacterium
Lineage: Bacteria
Description: partial 16S ribosomal RNA
Rfam family: Bacterial small subunit ribosomal RNA
Source: RNAcentral